CCUACGGGUGGCAGCAGUGAGGAAUAUUGGUCAAUGGCCGUAAGGCUGAACCAGCCAAGUCGCGUGAAGGAAGAAGGAUCUAUGGUUUGUAAGCUUCUUUUAUAGGGGAAUAAAGGUAUCCACGUGUGGAUAUUUGCAUGUACCCUAUGAAUAAGCAUCGGCUAACUCCGUGCCAGCAGCCGCGGUAAUACGGAGGAUGUGAGCGUUAUCCGGAUUUAUUGGGUGUAAAGGGUGCGUAGGUUGUUUUGUAAGUCAGAAGUGAAAGUUUGUGGCUUAACCAUAAAAUUGCCUUUGAAACUGGAAGACUUGAGUGUGGGUGAGGUAGGCGGAAUGCGUGGUGUAGCGGUGAAAUGCAUAGAUAUUACGAAGAACUCCGAUUGCGAAGGCAGCUUACUAAGCCAUAACUGACACUGAAGCACGAAAGCGUGGGGAUCAAACAGGAUUAGAUACCCUGGUAGUC
This 460-nucleotide ribosomal RNA is filed under the name uncultured bacterium. RNAcentral's name for it is "partial 16S ribosomal RNA". It matches the Rfam family "Bacterial small subunit ribosomal RNA", at positions 338 to 795 of the family's 1533-position model. The record is from RNAcentral.